ACGGGUGAGUAACGCGUGGGAAUCUACCCUUGACUACGGAAUAACGCAGGGAAACUUGUGCUAAUACCGUAUGUGUCCUUCGGGAGAAAGAUUUAUCGGUCAAGGAUGAGCCCGCGUUGGAUUAGCUAGUUGGUGGGGUAAAGGCCUACCAAGGCGACGAUCCAUAGCUGGUCUGAGAGGAUGAUCAGCCACAUUGGGACUGAGACACGGCCCAAACUCCUACGGGAGGCAGCAGUGGGGAAUAUUGGACAAUGGGCGCAAGCCUGAUCCAGCCAUGCCGCGUGAGUGAUGAAGGCCCUAGGGUUGUAAAGCUCUUUCACCGGAGAAGAUAAUGACGGUAUCCGGAGAAGAAGCCCCGGCUAACUUCGUGCCAGCAGCCGCGGUAAUACGAAGGGGGCUAGCGUUGUUCGGAAUUACUGGGCGUAGAGCGCACGUAGGCGGAUCGAUCAGUCAGGGGUGAAAUCCCAGGGCUCAACCCUGGAACUGCCUUUGAUACUGUCGAUCUGGAGUAUGGAAGAGGUGAGUGGAAUUCCGAGUGUAGAGGUGAAAUUCGUAGA
Molecule: ribosomal RNA, 557 nt
Filed under: uncultured Rhizobium sp.
Lineage: Bacteria; Pseudomonadati; Pseudomonadota; Alphaproteobacteria; Hyphomicrobiales; Rhizobiaceae
Description: bacterial SSU rRNA
Rfam family: Bacterial small subunit ribosomal RNA
Source: RNAcentral